Molecule: ribosomal RNA, 512 nt
Filed under: Lactobacillus kitasatonis
Lineage: Bacteria; Bacillati; Bacillota; Bacilli; Lactobacillales; Lactobacillaceae
Description: bacterial SSU rRNA
Rfam family: Bacterial small subunit ribosomal RNA
Source: RNAcentral
CAAGCGUUGUCCGGAUUUAUUGGGCGUAAAGCGAGCGCAGGCGGAAAAAUAAGUCUGAUGUGAAAGCCCUCGGCUUAACCGAGGAACUGCAUCGGAAACUGUUUUUCUUGAGUGCAGAAGAGGAGAGUGGAACUCCAUGUGUAGCGGUGGAAUGCGUAGAUAUAUGGAAGAACACCAGUGGCGAAGGCGGCUCUCUGGUCUGCAACUGACGCUGAGGCUCGAAAGCAUGGGUAGCGAACAGGAUUAGAUACCCUGGUAGUCCAUGCCGUAAACGAUGAGUGCUAAGUGUUGGGAGGUUUCCGCCUCUCAGUGCUGCAGCUAACGCAUUAAGCACUCCGCCUGGGGAGUACGACCGCAAGGUUGAAACUCAAAGGAAUUGACGGGGGCCCGCACAAGCGGUGGAGCAUGUGGUUUAAUUCGAAGCAACGCGAAGAACCUUACCAGGUCUUGACAUCUAGUGCAAUCUGUAGAGAUACGGAGUUCCCUUCGGGGACGCUAAGACAGGUGGUGCA